Long non-coding RNA from Podarcis muralis (Common wall lizard), 706 nucleotides. RefSeq lists it as uncharacterized. The record is from RefSeq and is a predicted model, not a curated record. Lineage: Eukaryota; Metazoa; Chordata; Lepidosauria; Squamata; Lacertidae.
UAAAGGGGAGGGGUACGACAGCGCACGUAUUAGGGAAACGCAUGCGCAGUCUCUGUCGGCCUCGUGAGCGGCCGCCGCUCGUCGCAGUUGCGCUGCAGCGCCGCCACAAGACUGAGGAAGGAACUGCAUAGCAAAAAAGGAAAAAAAGGCGUAAGAGUAUGGACUGUAUCAGGAAAGGGUCAACAAGAUAAAAGGGGCAUUGGAUUGCUUUCACUGGCUUUCUUAAUCCUAAAGAACUUUGAGAAGAGAGCAAGUGAAAAUUGAGAGGUGUUGGGUACCUCUGCUUUUGCAUCUUGUUUAGGGACUGGCAGAUCUGUCACAGGUGGUAGACCGAGGACUUUGAAUGGGACUUUGAGAGCUGGACACCAGGUUUCCUCAAUGUAGCCAAUCUGCAGUAGAUAAGGACCCUCUGCUACACUCAGAUGGCCUUCAAGUCUACCCACUGAAACCAAUGAGUGCAUGGCACUUAAAUUCCUUUGGUGAGAUGAAAAUAAGCGUGCCUGCAAUGGUGUGAGUUGGUACAACUGCAUAUCUUUGGAAGCUGCAAUUUGGAGUGGCUGUUUUUAAAUGCCAUCCCUUAUGCAACACAGAGCCUCCAGAUUUCAGUUCUUGUAUGCCUCUUUGCAAGUGAUGACAUGUGCCGGUGCUACAGUGGGAAGAAGAUGGGGAAGUCUGUCCCAUUCAAGCAACAGUCUUUCAUUCAAUU